GGUUUAGUGGUUAGGGCACGGGACUCGCACCCCCCAGGUAUCGAGUUCGAACCCCACCC
RNAcentral lists this transfer RNA (59 nucleotides) under Eutreptiella gymnastica. The record is from RNAcentral. Lineage: Eukaryota; Euglenozoa; Euglenophyceae; Eutreptiales; Eutreptiaceae.